AAUCAACGCUGGCGGCGUGCCUCAGACAUGCAAGUCGAAUGCGAAAGUUCCCUUCGGGGGAUGAGUAGAGUGGCGCACGGGUGAGUAACACGUAGGUAAUCUACCUUCGGAUGGGGAAUAACAACCGGAACGGUUAGCUAAUACCGCAUAAUGCAGCGGCACCUAAUGGUGACAGUUGUUAAAGCGGGGGAUCGAAAGACCUCGCGUCUGAAGA
RNAcentral lists this ribosomal RNA (214 nucleotides) under uncultured bacterium. RNAcentral's name for it is "partial 16S ribosomal RNA". It matches the Rfam family "Bacterial small subunit ribosomal RNA", at positions 32 to 228 of the family's 1533-position model. The record is from RNAcentral.